AGAGUUUGAUCAUGGCUCAGGAUGAACGCUAGCUACAGGCUUAACACAUGCAAGUCGAGGGGCAGCAUGGUCUUAGCUUGCUAAGACUGAUGGCGACCGGCGCACGGGUGAGUAACGCGUAUCCAACCUUCCCCUUAGUAGGGCAUAGCCCGGCGAAAGUCGGAUUAAUACCCUAUGUUCUUCGUAGAGGACAUCUGAAAUGAAGCAAAGACUUGUCGCUAAGGGAUGGGGAUGCGUCUGAUUAGGUAGUCGGCGGGGUAACGGCCCACCGAGCCUACGAUCAGUAGGGGUUCUGAGAGGAAGGUCCCCCACAUUGGAACUGAGACACGGUCCAAACUCCUACGGGAGGCAGCAGUGAGGAAUAUUGGUCAAUGGACGGAAGUCUGAACCAGCCAAGUAAGCGUGCAGGAUGACGGCCCUAUGGGUUGUAAACUGCUUUUAUAUAGGGAUAAAGUCGGGGACGUGUCCCCGUUUGUAGGUACUAUAUGAAUAAGGACCGGCUAAUUCCGUGCCAGCCGCCGC
RNAcentral lists this ribosomal RNA (522 nucleotides) under uncultured bacterium. RNAcentral describes it as "bacterial SSU rRNA". It matches the Rfam family "Bacterial small subunit ribosomal RNA", at positions 8 to 518 of the family's 1533-position model. The record is from RNAcentral.